RNAcentral lists this ribosomal RNA (804 nucleotides) under Orbilia myriosphaera. RNAcentral's name for it is "LSU rRNA". It matches the Rfam family "Eukaryotic large subunit ribosomal RNA", at positions 79 to 901 of the family's 3401-position model. The record is from RNAcentral. Lineage: Eukaryota; Fungi; Ascomycota; Orbiliomycetes; Orbiliales; Orbiliaceae.
CUUAGUAACGGCGAGUGAAGCGGCAACAGCUCAAAUUUGAAAUCUGGAGUCUUCGACUUCCGAGUUGUAAUUUGAAGAGGAUGCUUCGGUUGUAGCUCCGGCCUAAGUUCCUUGGAACAGGACGUCGCAGAGGGUGAGAAUCCCGUACGCGGCUGGCGGCUUACUUCCAUGUGUAGCUCCUUCGAAGAGUCGAGUUGUUUGGGAAUGCAGCUCUAAAUGGGUGGUAAAUUUCAUCUAAAGCUAAAUACUGGCGAGAGACCGAUAGCGCACAAGUAGAGUGAUCGAAAGAUGAAAAGCACUUUGAAAAGAGAGUUAAACAGUACGUGAAAUUGUUGAAAGGGAAGCGCUUGCAAUCAGACUUGCUUGCGGUUGAUCAACGUUCCUUUUGGUUCGUGCACUCUGCCGUUCGCAGGCCAGCAUCGGUUGCCGCCGUGGGACAAAGACUCAGGGAAUGUGGCUCUCUUCGGGGAGUGUUAUAGCCCUGUGUGUAAUGCCACGAGCGGCGACCGAGGACCGCGCUUUUUGCUAGGAUGCUGGCUUAAUGGUUGUAAGCGACCCGUCUUGAAACACGGACCAAGGAGUCUAACAUCUAUGCGAGUGUUUGGGUGUCAAACCCAUACGCGUAAUGAAAGUGAACGGAGGUGGGAGUCUUCGGAUGCACCAUCGACCGAUCCUGAUGUUCUCGGAUGGAUUUGAGUAGGAGCAUAGCUGUUGGGACCCGAAAGAUGGUGAACUAUGCCUGAAUAGGGUGAAGCCAGAGGAAACUCUGGUGGAGGCUCGCAGCGGUUCUGACGUGCAAAUCGA